This 1535-nucleotide ribosomal RNA is filed under the name uncultured bacterium. RNAcentral's name for it is "bacterial SSU rRNA". It matches the Rfam family "Bacterial small subunit ribosomal RNA". The record is from RNAcentral.
AGAGUUUGAUCCUGGCUCAGAAUGAACGUUGGCGGCGUGCUUAACACAUGCAAGUCGAGCGAGAAAGCUCCUUCGGGAGUGAGUACAGCGGCGGACGGGUGUGGAACGCGUGAGUAUCUGCCCUUUAGUGAAGAAUACCCUUGAGAAAUUGAGGUUAAUACUGCAUAUUCCCUGCGGGGGAAAGGUGGCUUUAUGCUGCCGCUAGAGGAUGAGCUUGCGUGCUAUUAGCUUGUUGGUGGGGUAAAGGCCUACCAAGGCGAUGAUGGCUAGCCGGCCUGAGAGGGUGUACGGCCACAUUGGGACUGAGAUACGGCCCAGACUCCUACGGGAGGCAGCAGUGAGGAAUAUUGCGCAAUGGGCGAAAGCCUGACGCAGCGACGCCGCGUGGAGGAUGACGGUUUUCGGAUUGUAAACUCCUGUUAAGUGGGAAGAAAGUCCUGUCUCUAAUAUAGGCGGGAUAUGACGGUACCACUAGAGAAAGCACCGGCUAACUUCGUGCCAGCAGCCGCGGUAAUACGAGGGGUGCAAACGUUAUUCGGAUUUACUGGGCGUAAAGGGUGUGUAGACGGUAUAUUAAGUUCGUUGUUAAAUCUUUCGGCCCAACCGAAAGUUCGCGAUGAAAACUAAUGUGCUAGAGGGUGAAAGAGAGAAGUGGAAUUCUCGGAGUAGCGGUAAAAUGCGUAGAUCUCGAGAGGAACACCGAUGGCGAAGGCAGCUUCUUGGUUCACUCCUGACGUUGAAACACGAAAGCGUGGGUAGCAAACAGGAUUAGAUACCCUGGUAGUCCACGCCGUAAACAAUGAUCACUAGAUGUCAGCUUUGCUUUGCAGGGUUGGUAUCGAAGCUAACGCGUUAAGUGAUCCGCCUGGGAACUACGGUCGCAAGAUUAAAACUCAAAGGAAUUGACGGGGGUCCGCACAAGCGGUGAAACAUGUGGUUUAAUUCGACACUACGCGAGGAACCUUACCUGGGCUUGACAUGCAUUUGACAGUUGUGGAAACACAAUUUUCUAAACUUGUUUAGACAGAUGCACAGGUGCUGCAUGGCUGUCGUCAGCUCGUGUCGUGAGAUGUUUGGUUAAGUCCUCUAACGAGCGCAACCCCUGCUGCCAGUUGCUAUUCAUUUUCGGAUGAAGCACUCUGGCGGGACUGCCUGGGAAACCAGGAGGAAGGUGGGGAUGACGUCAAGUCAUCAUGGUCCUUAUGUCCAGGGCUACACACGUGUUACAAUGGCUAGAACAAAGGGGUGCAAUACCGCAAGGUGGAGCAAAUCCCAGAAACCUAGUCUAAGUUCGGAUUGGGGUCUGCAACUCGACCCCAUGAAGUUGAAAUCGCUAGUAAUCGUAUAUCAGCAACGAUACGGUGAAUGCGUUCUCGGACCUUGUACACACCGCCCGUCACACCACGAAAGCUGUUUGUACCCGAAGCUAUCUUAGCUAACCCUUACGGGAGGCGGAUGGUUAAGGUAUGGGUAGUGAUUGGGGUGAAGUCGUAACAAGGUAGUCGUAGGAGAACCUGCGGCUGGAUCACCUCCUU